This 592-nucleotide long non-coding RNA is filed under the name Carica papaya (papaya). Its description in RNAcentral is "long non-coding RNA (CPAP_LNC012124)". Lineage: Eukaryota; Viridiplantae; Streptophyta; Magnoliopsida; Brassicales; Caricaceae. The record is from RNAcentral.
UCUUAUACUUUCAACAUGUGUACAUGACCUACACACGUCUCCCCAUACAACAUACACUCACACUUAGCACUCAUACACCAGUACACCCCUACACCUAAUGUUCAUUUAUCAAAUUCCUAAAUUUACAGCAGCUAUACCAACCUAUAUGCACAUGCAACUCACACCCGCACACAACACAUCCACACCAAUACACCUCUAUUCUAAUCCCUUACACACACCCGCUACAGGCCUCCCUUUCAUACUUCCUAAUUUUCAAAAUAUACACACUUCACCCCCCAUGCCUACCUUCUCUGUUAGCACUCAACACACUCUCUAUCCCUGCCUUCACUCCUCCCCAAAUGGCCUCGGCUUCUCAUCCUUUCCUAGUAGAUGUAUCAACUCUCACAGCACCCUACCUUUCCUAUCCUCCACUGCUAGCUCCCCCUCUACUACUCUCCUAUGCCUAUUAUGUCCCUAACCGCCCCUCUCUCCACACCUUUCUCACCUCCCUUCACUUACCUCAUUUCGUGCGCUUCUGCCCAUCGUCAAUCAUACCUAUUCACAUCAUCUCCCUACAACCUCCCUUACACAUUUUUAAUCACAGAGUUCCUCU